Molecule: ribosomal RNA, 452 nt
Filed under: uncultured bacterium
Lineage: Bacteria
Description: bacterial SSU rRNA
Rfam family: Bacterial small subunit ribosomal RNA
Source: RNAcentral
UACGGGAGGCAGCAGUGGGGAAUAUUGCACAAUGGGCGCAAGCCUGAUGCAGCCAUGCCGCGUGUAUGAAGAAGGCCUUCGGGUUGUAAAGUACUUUCAGUCGUGAGGAAGGUGUUAAGGUUAAUAACCUUAGCAAUUGACGUUAGCGACAGAAGAAGCACCGGCUAACUCCGUGCCAGCAGCCGCGGUAAUACGGAGGGUGCGAGCGUUAAUCGGAAUUACUGGGCGUAAAGGGCACGCAGGCGGUUAAUUAAGUUGGAUGUGAAAUCCCCGGGCUUAACCUGGGAAUGGCAUUCAAGACUGGUUAGCUAGAGUCUUGUAGAGGGGGUAGAAUUCCAUGUGUAGCGGUGAAAUGCGUAGAGAUGUGGAGGAUACCGGUGGCGAAGGCGGCCCCUGGGACAAAGACUGACGCUCAUGUGCGAAAGCGUGGGGAGCAAACAGGAUUAGAUACC